Molecule: unclassified non-coding RNA, 426 nt
Filed under: Hevea brasiliensis (rubber tree)
Lineage: Eukaryota; Viridiplantae; Streptophyta; Magnoliopsida; Malpighiales; Euphorbiaceae
Source: RNAcentral
AAAUUUUCCUGCAACCUCCCAUAGACCAGCCUUACUACAUAUACUGUACAGCGAUUUCCUCUUAGGCCUUUUGAAUUGUCCUUCAUCAACACCAACUUCACCAGGAGGAAAAUGCAAAUUAAAUUUCGAGUCAACAUCAUCUACCUCUCUCUCUGAUUCAGCUGCCUCGAGAGAUUUAUUGACUGAGUCAAAAAUCUGGCGAUUCAGUGAGGUUCUAGUUACAUGUUCAGCGGUACGUAUCUCCUCCAAAUAUCGGUUUUUAUAAUAUGAUUGAAGAGCCUUUUUUCGCUUUUGAAGAAGCAGCCACUUUUUGUCCAAGUCUUGAAUUGCCCAAAGUAUCUUAUGCCACCUUAAUGUUGGUGCUUUGUCAUUUUUAUCCUGAUCAUCACCAGCUUCAUGCUCUGUAUCUUUUAACAAGCUUAGAAU